CUAAACUGAGGGAGGUACGUCGAAACUGAUUGGCUCGAGGAACGUAGAGGAAGGCGGAACUCUCGGAGUAGCGGUGAAAUGCGUAGAGACCGAGAGGUACCCCGAUGGUGAAGACAGCCUUCUGGGCGUUUCCUGACGCUGAAGCGCUAAGGCCAGGGGAGCGAAGGGGAUUAGAUACCCCCGUAGUCCUGGCUUCAAACGAUGUGGGCUUGGUGUCGGCUCCCGACAGAGAGUCGUUGCCGGAGUUAACGCGUUAAGCCCACCGCCUGGGGACUACGUCCGCAAGGAUGAAACUCAAGGGAAUUGACGGGGGCCCACACAACCGGUGGAGCACGUGGUUUAAUUCGAUGAUAAGCGAAGAACCUUACCAGGGCUUGACCUAUCGGUGGUAGAACCCUGAAAGGGGAACGACCUCAAGCUUUGCUUGAGGAGCCG
This 435-nucleotide ribosomal RNA is filed under the name uncultured bacterium. RNAcentral describes it as "bacterial SSU rRNA". It matches the Rfam family "Bacterial small subunit ribosomal RNA", at positions 608 to 1043 of the family's 1533-position model. The record is from RNAcentral.